UACAGAGGGUGCGAGCGUUGUCCGGAAUCACUGGGCGUAAAGGGCGCGUAGGCGGUCCGGUAAGCGUGCGGUGAAAGCCCGGGGCUCAACCCCGGGUCGGCCGUGCGAACUGCGGGACUGGAGCUUGUCAGAGGCAGGCGGAAUUCCGGGUGUAGCGGUGGAAUGCGUAGAGAUCUCCAAGAACACCAGUUGCGAAGGCGGCUGACUGGACCCAUAUUGACGCUGAGGCUCGAAAGCAUGGGGAGCAAACAGG
Molecule: ribosomal RNA, 253 nt
Filed under: uncultured bacterium
Lineage: Bacteria
Description: partial 16S ribosomal RNA
Rfam family: Bacterial small subunit ribosomal RNA
Source: RNAcentral